GACUACUGGGGGCUGCAGUGGGGAAUAUUGGACAAUGGGGGCAACCCUGAUCCAGCCAUGCCGCGUGUGUGAAGAAGGCCCUCGGGUUGUAAAGCACUUUCAGUGAGGAAGAACGCCUGGUGGUUAAUACCCAUCAGGAAAGACAUCACUCACAGAAGAAGCACCGGCUAACUCCGUGCCAGCAGCCGCGGUAAUACGGAGGGUGCGAGCGUUAAUCGGAAUUACUGGGCGUAAAGCGCGCGUAGGUGGCUUGAUAAGCCGGUUGUGAAAGCCCCGGGCUCAACCUGGGAACGGCAUCCGGAACUGGCAAGCUAGAGUGCAGGAGAGGAAGGUAGAAUUCCCGGUGUAGCGGUGAAAUGCGUAGAGAUCGGGAGGAAUACCAGUGGCGAAGGCGGCCUUCUGGACUGACACUGACACUGAGGUGCGAAAGCGUGGGUAGCAAACAGGAUUAGAUACCCGAGUAGUC
This 466-nucleotide ribosomal RNA is filed under the name Vreelandella stevensii. RNAcentral's name for it is "partial 16S ribosomal RNA". It matches the Rfam family "Bacterial small subunit ribosomal RNA", at positions 334 to 795 of the family's 1533-position model. The record is from RNAcentral. Lineage: Bacteria; Pseudomonadati; Pseudomonadota; Gammaproteobacteria; Oceanospirillales; Halomonadaceae.